Long non-coding RNA from Felis catus (domestic cat), 3708 nucleotides. RefSeq lists it as uncharacterized. NCBI's taxonomy places the organism in Eukaryota, Metazoa, Chordata, Mammalia, Carnivora, Felidae. The record is from RefSeq and is a predicted model, not a curated record. The transcript is spliced from 3 exons.
GACGCCCAGCGCCGGGAUUCGGAUCUCGGCCCAGCCGCGAGGUCAGCAGCCCGUUCUGCCCUGAACCGGGAGGAAUGUUCGCGGCGGCCUCGGCCCGGGUCCGAGAAGAAAGGCAGCCUUGUGGGCGAAAGAUCCCGCUGCGCGGACACCCCCUGUGCUUGUGUUUGGCGGCUCAGGAGUAUUUUCUGGACGAUCAGCUCUUAGAACUGCAGGACACCAGCUCCAUGAGGGAGGGAGACGGCUGGUCUUAUGCAAAGCAGCCCCCGGCACACAGUAGGUACUCUAUAAGUGCUCAUAGAUCGGCAGUGGACGCUCCAAAGUCCUGAUGUCUGGGCAGCGGUUGGGGACGGAAGAUCCAGAUGCUGAAAGUUGGCCCCUGGAGUGGAGGCCCAGAGGGACGAGCAGGUCCCCAAGGCCACCAGGCUGGAAUUCCUAUACCUGGCAGCCUCCCGGAGGCCCUCCCAGCAGCUGUGCCUCUGGCCCCCCGGGGCCCACCUCACCAGGUCCCACCCUGAGUUGACCAAGGGCUUCUCUCACCAGAGACGGCAGCAAAGAUGGGAGGAGACUCCAAGGGCAACUCCUGUGUCAUCCCCAACAUUUAUGGAGCACCAACUGUAUGCCCUGCCUUGGACUGGGCAGCACAGAGAUCGUACCUCAGUGACUUCCUGGGGGCCGGGGGUGGUGACUCAACCACCUCCCUGUCCUGAGGCCCUAGCUGUACAAAAUUUACAGAGCAUCUACUGGGUACCGGUGACUAAACUGAAGGUACCUACACAGUGGAUUUAGGGAGGAAGACAGUGCACUUUUCUGUUGACGCUUUUAAUUAAUUUUCUUUAACAGAAAGCAGUCCUUUUGGAAAGAAGUAAAGCAUUCCCAAGUAAGAAAAAAUACAACCCUACCACCUACCGAUGCUGGGAGGAAGUUCAGGAGGCCUCGGAGCCCAGAGGGGGCACCUGGGGAGAGGCCUCCUGGACGAAACGAGCUCUGAGCUGAGGCCCCAGGAUGCGCGGGCAGGAAGGGCCCUGUGGGAGGCAGCCGGCCGGAGGCUGGGGUGCUGAUGUCGUGCACCCAGGCCCAGCCUGUGCAGCAUGUCCCCGAGCCAGCGUUUCUGGGGGGAGCUUCCUGCAGCCCUCGUCCCUGUGAUUGUCUCUUUCUGUCUCCCCGGCGCACUCUUGUGCCGGAACUCUGCGAGGUCACAGCCACUCUGUCUCAUCCACCUGUCUGUCCCCAGGGCCCAGAGCUCACAGCAGUCACCAAAACUCCUGUCUUUCCAGGAGUCCAGAAUGUGGUUUUAUCUGGACGUCGGUCUUUGCAGAGGUCAUUAGUUUAAAGACCUUGAGAUGAGACCCUCCUGGGUCAGGGGUGGGCCCUACCUCAAUGACCGGUGUCCGUGUGAGGACAGGAGAGGACACACAGACACACGGAUGAAGGUCACGUGGGGACGAAGGCAGAGACUGGAGUGAUGUGUCGAUCAGCCAGGAAACUCUGGGAGCCCACCGGUGCCCGGACAGGCACGGGUUCUGUGUCCCGGAGCCUUGGAGGGGUUCUGGCUCUGCUGACCUUGGUUUCCCAAUUGUCCAGAACUGUGGGCGAAUACGCGUCUCGUGUUUUCAGCCACCAAAUUCGUGGCACUUUGUUCCAGCAGCCGCCAGACGCUCGUAAGUUUUGCUCCUGUGGGCGAACAGGUGAGUGAAGGAAUAAACCGAAAGCGGCUCUGGUGGCCGUCCAGGGCCACUUGGGUGUGGCGAGGCGACUGCCCUCGUCCCCUGUGACUGGGCUUGUAUUCUGGGGUGCCUGCUCGGGCUGUGGGGCUGGGGAGGCUGGAGGCUGUCCAGUGUGUGUGUGUGUGUGGGGUGGGGGUGUAGACAUUGCCUGCCCUCCCCCGUCCCCAGAAGCCCGUGUCCACACCCAGCGUGGACGCCCAGCUUCUGGGGACCUCGCCCCUCCUGAGGCCCUUCAGAUACACUGCAGCGAGUGCUUAUCCUCAAAUAUGAAUGCUCCUCGACGUGUCCCCCCAAGUGACUCUCCUCACCUUCAGUUAGAGCCCAGGGCCAGGCCGCCGGGGGGAUUUUCUCCACCUGUCCUCCCUUAGUUCUCCUGCCGGUCACUCUGAAGGUCAGGAUUCAAGCCUGAAUCCGGGCUCUAUGCUGAGCGAUGGGGGGAGGGUCGCUCCUCUCUGAGUCUCAGUUUCCCCAUUUGUAACGGGAAGAAUGUCGCCCGGCUUCGAGAAAGCCGUGGUGGAGAGUGGAUGAGAAGAAGCUGGUCCCGGGCUGGCGGAGCACCUGGCCGGUAGGUGUUUCUACGAGAGUGGGCUUGGGGUCCUGUUCCCCCGGGACAUAGCCCUGGAUCCUAAAGGGCGUUAGACCUUCCCGGCCUCAGAUCCUUUCAAAGCCUCAGUCACCGGCCUGUGGCCUGUCCAGUGGCCUCACAAAGCCACCUCCACCCCCAAGGAGCCCAAUAUCUUUGGAAGGACCAAGGCUUGGAUUUCUUGCCCAUAAAAUGCCUGAAACCAAAGCAGAGCUGAAGACACCGAGGGCUUUGACGUUGGUUUGGGGCAGGAGGGGCUGUGAAGUCCCCAGCGGCCUUGGCCUCUCUCCGGGAACCAUGUAAACAGGGGCUCUUGGCAGGAGGAUAGUGGCCAGGUACAAGGGGACAUCUGUCGUUUCAGCAAUGAUCUGGAUUCCAACAAAGACUUACUGGUACCCAGUUUUAGAGGAGACAGUUGGGGAGACUCAACUGACAACCGCCCUUUUUUCUGGUGUUAGAGGCAGGAAAGGGAGCCAGCAGCUGGGCCCUGAAACAAGAAUUGUAAUCCCUCCUCUGCCACUUACUUGCUGUGUGACGUCAGGCGACCUGCCCAACCUUUCUGUGCCUCAAUUUCCUCACCCGCCAAAUAGGAGAUAAUAAUCAUCUCUCUCUCAAAGGGUUGCGGUGAGGGUAACCUGAGUGAUUUUGUGUGAUGCACUAGCCCAGUCCCUGGGCAUGGUUGGCUCUCGGGCACCGACAUUGUUACUGUCGUUUUUCCUAACGACACAGAUGUGAGCUUCUCCUGAAUCUAGCCAGGGCCUACUAUGCUUCAAGACCUCCACAGACAUCAUCCCACCGAGUCCUCCCCCCACGACGGGGAGGGGGGGCAUUGUGCACAGCCCCAGGCCACAGCUGGUGACCAGAGAGGAAGGACUCUUGUCCGGGGGGUGCACAGCUGUGGGGGGGCCCCGGGCCGCGAUGUAAAAGCCCAGCGGUCUGGCUGCAUCGUCCGUCUGUCCUCCUGAUCACUUCUCUUCAGGGAAUCUGAGGACCCCAGUGGGGGACAGAAAAGCCGCCCACGUUCCCGCAGGCCCGGGCGUGGCUUCUCCACCUUGUACCUUCGACAUUCCGAGCUGGACCAUCCUCCGUGGUGGGGCUGCCCGGUGCAGGGUCGUUAGCUGUCCCCCAGGGCCCUACCCACCAGCUGCCAGUAGCACCCCUGAGUUGUGACAACUGAAAAUGUCUCCAGGCAAGGCCAAGUGUCCCAGGGAGGGGGCAGCCCCUGGCUGACAAGGGCUGGAGUAAGGGUGUGAAAUGUUGGAGGGUUUCCUUCUGGAUUCCCUCCCUGUCUACACAUACACAUGCACAGACACACUUAAAAAAGUAGGGGUGCCUGGGUGGCUCAGUCGGUUAAGCGUCUGACUUCAGCUCAGGUCACGAUCUCACGGUCCAUGAGUUUGA